RNAcentral lists this ribosomal RNA (253 nucleotides) under uncultured bacterium. RNAcentral's name for it is "partial 16S ribosomal RNA". It matches the Rfam family "Bacterial small subunit ribosomal RNA", at positions 524 to 776 of the family's 1533-position model. The record is from RNAcentral.
UACGAAGGGGGCUAGCGUUGCUCGGAAUCACUGGGCGUAAAGGGCGCGUAGGCGGGUCUUUAAGUCAGGGGUGAAAUCCUGGAGCUCAACUCCAGAACUGCCUUUGAUACUGAGGAUCUUGAGUCCGGGAGAGGUGAGUGGAACUGCGAGUGUAGAGGUGAAAUUCGUAGAUAUUCGGAAGAACACCAGUGGCGAAGGCGGCUCACUGGACUGGUAUUGACGCUGAGGUGCGAAAGCGUGGGGAGCAAACAGG